UGAACGUUACCUUCUUGAGAAAC
Molecule: microRNA, 23 nt
Filed under: Echinops telfairi (small Madagascar hedgehog)
Lineage: Eukaryota; Metazoa; Chordata; Mammalia; Afrosoricida; Tenrecidae
Description: Ete-Mir-506-P5e_3p* (star (passenger))
Source: RNAcentral